This is a long non-coding RNA of Oenanthe melanoleuca, 2427 nucleotides long. RefSeq lists it as uncharacterized. The transcript is spliced from 3 exons. The record is from RefSeq and is a predicted model, not a curated record. NCBI's taxonomy places the organism in Eukaryota, Metazoa, Chordata, Aves, Passeriformes, Muscicapidae.
CUCUCUUAAUUCACAAGACAUAGAAUAGUUAAAUAAAGUUUGGCUUAAGCUGUUUUGAAUUCAUGGCAAUUUUGGGUAGGUUUUGCUAAUUGAAAUAAGAACUCAGAUACAGCAAGGCCUUUGUGACAUACUGAGUUUAUGUGGGUGUCUCCCCCUGCUCACUGAGGUGGAGAAAAUCAGGAUGAGCUUUUGAAGGUGACUGAUCCUGGAUCAAGGCCUGGACUGUGAGUUUGGCUGUGACUUUGUGGUUAUUUCUUCCUGUCAUAAUCUCAGAGGCUAACACGGCAAAGAACCCCAAGCACUGGAAUGUGAGCAGAUCUGAGAUCCAGAGGAUGGGAAACAAGAUGGAUGUCAACUCUGCUUAGACCAAGAAAAGAAGCAAAGAUUUGCUGUUUCAUUCAGGGGAAAAGGGACCUUUUAAGGCCUCCCUUCAGAGUGCCCACAGCUGGCAUGAAUUAAGGUAAAUUCAGUGUUUACCUCAAAACUCACAUUCCCCAAGUACAACAAGUGGUCAACAGCAUAAUCUAAUGCUGGACCUCCUGACCAGUUCCUCAGACUUUCUGACCAGUUUCUCAUUUGCAACUCAUCAUUCAGGGAUGGUCUAUUAUGUGUAAAGCUAAGUCAGCUGAUGAGCACAGCACUGAUCUUCCUCUAAAUGGCAAGAGCUCCUCCUUCCUUGUGGCCAUGCAUGAGCCACACAAGACAUGAAAAAAACUUCUUGUUUGGGAAAGGUGAGGACAGAGAGAACAGGAGAAGAACCAGGAAGGGGCUGAGGUAUAUUUCCAGUCAUGGAAUGAAGAUGAGAUAUCCUGGAACUUCUGUGCCUGCCUCUGGCAUAGUCAGUCUGUCCGUGCACUGUGGCUGUUCAGAAAAAGCACGAGGCUGACAAAAAAAGCUUUUUUCUGGACUAAGUCACUGUGGGAUGUCUUGCUGCUAUUCUUGCAUCUGCUCCUCUAAGGGACUCAUGCAGAAAGGGCAGGAUAAUGGGGCACUCCUAUCCUGACCCUUCUGCCUCUGGGACAGCCCGCUCUCAUCACUCUUGUUAGCUCUAAUUGCUUUUAUUACAGAUACUUGACCAAUUUAUUUCUGUUUUAUUAAAUAGUUUUCAGAUGGUACAGUUAGCAGAAGUAGCAGCUUGUUGGUUGAAAGUAAAUGCCUUCCCAAGAAAAGAAGCUGUGUGAGUCAGCACAUGGACAGACAUGUAGUGUCACUUGCCUGAGACCAGCAGAGACAAAGGAUUGCCCGAGGUGUGCAGACCUGGUUGAGCAUACCCACACAUGACACAGCACUGCCCUCUCCAGCUGCUCACAGCCUGACAAAUUUGCCAAGCAAAGAUGUUGGAAUUCCUGCUUCAGCUGUGGGCACAACUGUCUGGCAGGACCUGAACUCUGCAUGUUGGGUGGAGCAUCACCAAGGGGCAGGAGAGAAGUUCUGGCCCUGCCCUGCUGAGUCCACACUCACAGGGUUUCACUAACAGGCACAUUUCCCUCCUGCUCCCUGAAAAAUGUGGGUUGCUUCAAUGCGAGGGAUGUAUUCAGUCACAUCGGUGUGCUGAGGACUGGGCAAACUCAGCUGGUUUCUGCCUUGGUGGAAGGUCUGUUAGCAGGCACAGGGGACCCAUAAAGCUCUGAGAAAUCAGCUGUGGCUCACACUGAGGGUUGCUGCAAGUUCAGUCAAUGUGCACUCCACAAGAAUGAUCACUUACAUAUUUAAAUUUUGAUUAUGUAUGAAAUGAAGGGGGAAAAAAAGCAAAAUGAAGUUAGGAAUUAAUAGCUGUUUUGUAGCUUUUGAGGCAUUUAUGAACACUUUGUGGAUGAUGGAUAGUUCUGAAAAUAUGACUUUCUCAAGAAAAUCAGUCCAUUUUGCAACUCUAAUGAAUCGUGAUAUACAGUAGUCCAAACACUGCUUGCCAGCCAGCUACCUUAAAACAAGAUGCUAAGUGAAUAUUUUUCUUGAUUAGAUAAUGGGCUGGUUGAAAUUCCUUCAGCUUUACUGAAACAGAAGUUAGCAAUUUCAGACAUAUCAGAUGAUGCAUCAAUUUUCUGUAAACAGAAGACUGUGCAACCCACUUUAUUGAAAAGGCCUUUAUACCGAGCUAGAUUUAAUCUCUCAAUUUGAGAAGCAGCCCCAUGAAAUAAGAUGUUUGCAUGCAAAAUCUCCCAGAUUUCCAAUGGAAAUAUAAAACAAAGAAGAGCAUGUUCCCUUGGGGACUGCACCUAUCUUGGAUUAGAUUUUCUCUGAUGUUUUUGCAUCAUAUUACCAAUGGCUUCAGGGAAGUGAAACAGCAGUUUUCUUUCUUGAGAACAAAGGCUUGCAGAGUUAAAAAAAAUGUUAAUAUAUUUAAAGCACUUUUGGCUACUGUUCUUUUUAUUACUCUGAGAAUUCUGGACAAAAAAAGGUAUCUUAUUGUAUUAUUUUAUCAUCUAU